AUGGCUAACAAAAAUUUGGGCAUCUUCAUCCUCAUAGCAACACUAGUGGCUCAAGCUACUUGGGUUCGAGCAAAGGAGUUUAUAGUUGGAGACGAUAAAGGAUGGGCCUCGGGUGUUGAUUAUGAUGAGUGGAUCAAGGAUAAGGAAAUCUUUUAAGGAGACAAACUUGUGUUCACAUUCGAAAGGGAAUCACGUAAGCUAUUUUACAUGACUCAUGAAAAGUGUAACGCUUGUUGUCCUAAUGAUCCACUUAUGGAGAUGUAUCCUUGUGGAAAUAAUUGCCUAACCUUAAUGGCUAUCGGCAAGCGUUGUGUUAUGAGCACCAGAGAGGAUUGUCUGAAUGGAAUGAAGCUUCUCUUCGAAGUCAAGCCAGCUCCUGCAUUACAAGAAUGUAGAGACACAAUAAUCUAAGCUUCGAGGAUUGCAUGUCUUAAUUGU
This 438-nucleotide long non-coding RNA is filed under the name Helianthus annuus (common sunflower). The record is from RNAcentral. Lineage: Eukaryota; Viridiplantae; Streptophyta; Magnoliopsida; Asterales; Asteraceae.